AGUUUAUGGCUGGAGCACAGUAGCUGUAGGGAAGAAUUCUCUUGCAAUGAAGUCUCUGCAUAUCACGUGAUAGCACUAGUCACAGAUGCUUAUUACUUGUCUUAAUUCUUAUUUAAGAAGGCUUAUAUGCAGGUCUGUGAUUAUAUGCCCAUUAGGUUGCGUCUGCAACCUCUGUGGCGGGUUCCCUAUUUCGGAAGAUGCUUGCUUUCCACCUACCUGCACAUGUCAGCGUUUCCUGUUUAAUGCAGUGAUGUGGUCAAAUAUGCAAGUGCAGAACUUGCAUAAUGGCACUUGGAAGUGUAAAGGUCUUGGCCUUGGCAUAUUUAGUCCCAGUAGUGCGUGCAAGGAGUUGCUGGAUAACAUAUCUAACAGUCAUCAUUGAGCACAUACCUAGAUGACUAGAAACAGAUUUAGUCUGUUUCGAUUGCUGGGGAGAAUUUAGUUGCUGAUUCUGAAAAGGGGACUCCGGAGAACAACUCUAUUGGAAGGCCUUCUUGCAUUGUGGUCAGGCUGUCCACUUCCAAAAUUGUCAAAUACCUCAGUGUCAUUUGUAAUGAAAGGACUAAGGUCUAGAUUAAAAGCAUGUUUCUGUUGCCUUCCAUUAUAACAAAUAUUGUUGGUUUGGUCUCCCGAGUGGAUAGCAAAAGCUUAAUUCAUUCAGUCCUUUUCCACCGACUGGUUGGGAACUGUGUGUCUUUUAAGCAGAGUGGUGUCAAGAAAAGGUGAAAGGAAAUGUAUAGAAAAAGGCUAUCAAAUAAAGUAUUAAAGUAAUUAUUCUGAAAAAAAAUGACUGGCAUUGGUUCGUUAAUAUUUGACAAAGAAUGAUACGAUUAAUUGGAAUAUCUCAUUUUUUUACGGAGGGCUUGUAUCACUAAUAUUAAGCAAAGAUGAUUCGAUUAAUUUAUAGUGAAUUAUUUUAUGGGGAAUUUGUGGAAGAUGCCGACUAUGAUUGUUUUGAUGUAGUCAUUUUACAUGAGUGUGUUAAGAAUUUAUUUCAUUUAAUGAUUUGUACCCGAUUAUUGAAACACAAAAAUGCUUAUGUAAAUUAAUUCAAUGUUUGCUUUUCGUUAAUACAGUGUUGACGUUAAAACACUAAAAAAAUAUGAAAAUGAGUGUAACUACAGGUUAGCCUUUUUGUUUUCUUCAUCAUACCUGUUAACGUCAUAAUUCUGAAAAGAUGAAAUUACGAUUUUGCCUAUCAUUCCUCCAAGGAUUUAUUGCUGCCUCUUGUAGGUAACUACAUGCCUACAGUAUAUUAAGUAAAAUGAAAAAAAAAAGUGUUUGGUCCUGACGUUACAAGCAUACGUGCUAAUAUGUCUAUUUUUGUAUUUAACAUGCUUUGAACGAAGUUGUCUCAGGUAACCUAUAGCUACCUAACUGCGUAUUUAGUUACUUACCUGACUGCUUAUCAAGCAUUCUCUCCUCUUUUUCGCUUUAUACGUUUGAAAUUAUGUAUCUGAAUACUUUAUUUCAUGGAAACGAUUUUGAAUGUUAACAGGUGUGUAUGCUUCCUUUAUUUAAUAAAAUUAUGUACUGAUAAACAAGCCUGGCUUUAUUAGUGGAGGAUCUGUUUUACAACUUAGGAUGUAAUGCACCACUUGGGUGUAGAAUUUAAAGCGCAGAACUGCAAUUUACAUGUGGCCUACAAAUCAUCUUUGCAUUUAUUUGGCUUAUACUGUUACUGUACAAAAUAAGGUUGUUUGACAAGUUUGUUUUUUUCAGAAGUACAUUUGGGUUCAAGUUUUAGUAUAAGACCCGAACGCUGGUCAGAACCAGACCGUCCUGGAAUUCUUGUAGUGUGCCCUGCAAUCAGUUGAAAGACAAAUGAAUUUCCGUUUCCCUUUUUAUCUGAAUGGGGCUACCUUUUUUCCUUAUUUCCCUCAUCUCCCUACACAGUUUAUAUAGGUAUCGUAGUUUAUAAGUUAUCUUUAUUUCUGAAUCUUUCUCUAUAAUGUUUAAACGCCUUUAUGAAAUUAUCACUAAAAACACAAGCAGACAUACAUUAAUAAAAAUAAAGCAAACCAUGGUAACAUUUUCAUCUACGUGCAUUACACUCCUAAGUCAUUGUUUGAGUUUGUUUUACUGUACUUUGUUGCUUAUGCAUAAAUUUUCUGGUGAAUAUUGGUAUUGCUACGACGGCCUUUAAUUUAUUCAGUGAUGUCAAUGAAAACCCAAACCGUUUUUUUUUUUAGAAGGGCAUAGAGUGUUUUACAUUUUAUACUUACUCGUAAACAAGAUAAUCAAAAAGGUGGAUAGCCAAUAUUAGACCGCCUUAAAAAGAAAGUUUUUUAGCUUUUGGGCUUUGACCCAUGUUUGUGAUGUGCAAGUAUCUAUAGCAUGUUAAAUUAUUUAAAAAAAAUGUCUUACGUGUACUGCAUUUACUACGCCAUGCAAUGUUUCUAUAUUGGAAAUAUACUACAUUGUAUGAUUGUUAUAUGUAAAUUUGCAUAACUAAAUGGGUUUGUUGAAAUAGUGUUAUUUUAGCUCCUUUUGGACACACACACAAAACUAUUUUAAGUGCUGACCUGCAGUUAUGAUAGUCAAGUAUCCAUGAUGUAUUAGUGUAUUUACUACGCGUUCACUAUGUUUACCACACCUUGCAAUGGUUCUAAAAUACAUCGUAUAAUGCAAUUGUUCAACAAGAUCUGCAUAAAGUGCGUCUGAUCUAAAUGCGUCGUUUUGGUUUCUUUGGAGUAUUGUGCGUGCGCUCACACACGUGUAUGUGUUAGCAUGCAUAUAUUGUGCAUGCAUGCAUAUAGCACACUUACAACGUGUCGUGCAGACAGAAGAGUUGUGUGAAAUGCAGGGAAUAAAAAUAAGAAAAAAAAAACAAUAGUACUGACUAGUACAAAAGCAGCUUACAACACAUAGCUUGCGUCUGUGAAUUCCUUGUUAACUUACAGCAAAAUUAUAAAGCUGUUACCUCACGUAGACUACCUUACCAAGCAACGUUCUGUAAUCAAACCCAAAACCAAUAUGGAAUCUUAUCUUUUGUUGUAAAAGCAACAGACUUAAAUAAAUGGAAAGCCUGCAGUUCAUUUUAAACCCCAUAUCCCCUAAAUACAUUUUUCGUAUUAAUUUAUUCUGAAUAGUAAUGGUAAAUAAGAAGACCCAGAAAAAAAAUUACUGACAGCCUUGCAGUGUGGUGGCUUCCAGUGUAAAUCCUUAACAUAACGGGUGCAUUUUAAUAAGGCACUGUAUUAAAUGAGGUACUGUAUUAUGCAUGGAAACCGUCUUUCUUGCACGCCGAGAAGCUUGGCUUGUUUGAUUGGUUGCCAUAGUGAAUCUAAACCUUAUAAGCAAAAGGGCACGUCUGACUUAUUAGCAUAUAUUCAAAUGAACCAUGAAAUAAUGCAAACCAUAAAUCAUGCAGUUCUUGGUGCCCAUUUCUGCGUUCAGCGCUGCCCCUCCCCCACGCAGGCCUGGGUGUCUGCAGACUGUUCCUACGGGGGGGGGGGAGACUUGAGAAUUACACGGAAUGCAAUGGCAAUGCACGUAUCUGGCUAUGCUGCCUCUUUCAAACGCACACAUACAGCAAAAGUAAUUGCACACUGUUAAAUAUUUCUCAGUCAUCCUUAUUUUUGCCUCAAAAUCUUAACAGUGCCUCAGCAAAGUCAUGUUUUGUAACCAAAUAGUGGGUGUUGUGGCAACAGUAUAAUGCCAGACAAUGAGCAGAUGAAUUCCUUUUUCAUUACAAUUUGUAUUUACCUUAAAUGUGUAAGGUGCCAACUUCCACAGGGAUCAUAUAUCCAGAGCAAAAGGGUUGUGCCUUUUCCGCAAACAUUUCAUGAAUUCUGUAUGCCCUGUUGAUAAAAGCGGUAAAACAGCAUAACGAUACAGUCAAACCCCAAAGAGAAAGAAAUGAUCCUGGAAAUGAAUACUUAGUCAGUUGUUCUUUUCUUCUUCUUCUUUUCUUAUUUUUAAACCUCCAUUUUGAAGAAUGCGUAUGACAAAUAAGUCAUUCUGUAUUAAGCCAGACACAAGUAAGCAGACUGAGGACGCUACAUUCCCAAGAAAAGAUAAAAAACGAACGUCCACGAUGCUAAUGAAAGGCUUUUUAAUUAAACGCCUUGCCUAACUAAACGAUAGUGGAAGGGGCUGGUAGACAGCAGAGAAAACCAAUUAGAGCCAAAUGAGGGUAUAAUGAGAAGUUAUAUACCAAAAAGAAACAUCGACUGGGGGAGAAAUUAAGAGUCAUGGAGACUACUUGAGGAAACCCAACAUAUUUUCAAAUGGAAAUGAUAGUGUUAGGAGUUUAAUUUAUUUUGGUUUUUGAAAUGUGUAUAAUUUUUACUGAUUUUUCAGUACAAGAGAUAACGUGUUAAAACAAUAUUGUAAUAAUUUUUGAUGAAAAAUGUCUGGACAGGUAAACCAUGGUGCCAACAGGGAUGAAACUGGCUGCUUAAAAGAUUUGUUGUGAUACUGAAAAAUAUUUAAAAAGAGCCGUUAUGGGAAUAGUUUAAAAGGUUACUUGCGAUCAAGUAUUUAUUUAUUUAUUUAUUUAGUUUCGUUUUUUUAUUUAGAUAAUUAGA
This is a long non-coding RNA of Protopterus annectens (West African lungfish), 4532 nucleotides long. RefSeq lists it as uncharacterized. The record is from RefSeq and is a predicted model, not a curated record. The transcript is spliced from 4 exons. Lineage: Eukaryota; Metazoa; Chordata; Ceratodontiformes; Protopteridae.